RNAcentral lists this transfer RNA (65 nucleotides) under Cryptopleurum minutum. RNAcentral describes it as "tRNA-Arg". Lineage: Eukaryota; Metazoa; Arthropoda; Insecta; Coleoptera; Hydrophilidae. The record is from RNAcentral.
AAAUAAGAAUCAAUAAUUGUAUUUAGUUUCGACCUAAAAGUUAGGUGUAUAUUCACCCUUAUUUA